This 517-nucleotide ribosomal RNA is filed under the name uncultured bacterium. RNAcentral's name for it is "partial 16S ribosomal RNA". It matches the Rfam family "Bacterial small subunit ribosomal RNA", at positions 29 to 523 of the family's 1533-position model. The record is from RNAcentral.
AACGAACGCUGGCGGCGUGCUUAACACAUGCAAGUCGAACGAGAAAAUUUCUUCGGAAGUGAGUAAAGUGGCGCACGGGUCCGUAACGCGUGGAUAAACUGCCCUCAAGUGGAGAACAACUUGUCGAAAGACGAGCUAAAACACCAUAAGACCACGGCAUCUUCGGAUGAUGGGGGAAAAUGUGGCCUCUAUUUAUAAGCUAUAGCUUGAGGAUGAGUCUGCGUACCAUUAGCGAGUUGGUAGGGUAAUGGCCUACCAAGGCCGAGAUGGUUAGCUGGUCUGAGAGGACGAUCAGCGACACUGGAACUGAGAUACGGUCCAGACUCCUACGGGAGGCAGCAGUGGGGAAUAUUGGACAAUGGGCGAAAGCCUGAUCCAGCAACGCCGCGUGAGCGAUGAAGGCCUUCGGGUUGUAAAGCUCUGUUAAGGGGAACGAAAAUGGGCGACCUAAUACGUCGUCAACUGACGGUACUCCUAGAGGAAGCACCGGCUAACUCUGUGCCAGCCGCCGCGGUAA